ACCACAUAUGGGCCCAGUUAAGCGAGAGGCUUUUAGUGGAGAUUUGGUCCAAUUUCAAUUCGUUGGGGUCUUAAGGGUUCUUUUAAGAAGAGCAUGGAAAAAAAAAGGACGCCCCUCAAUCGAGAGACAUUUCAGUGCAUACACAAGGAAAGUAGAGUUGUUGAAAUGACCUAGUGAUGGCGGUUUUUAUAUCAUGGAGCCUUAAAUUGGGUCGAAAAUAGAUUUAGCACAGAAGGGUUAGUGAGGAAAGUUCUAUUGAGCAAUGAGAAGAAGAAAUGGGGUGUUGUUUCGAACGAGGAGGGUGAGGUGGGUAGCAAUUUUGGAUUAUGACGGAGAGCUACGUAUAGAUGGAGGUCAUUAACAACUCAGGUUUGAACCACAUUCUUCUGAUAUUUUGAGCGAUUUUUGCUUUAAGCUUCCAUCUCUGUUGGAGGUCUUAGAGACUCUGGUCUGGAGAAUGCUUGAAUAGGUGAGGAAAGAGAGAAGAUUGAGCAGACUGAGCUUGUUCCUGGUGCUUGCUUUCAACAUUUGCUGGAUAAAUAUGGGUUUGCGAUUAGGUAAUUUGGUGGGAAAGGAAGUCUCUUUGGAUGGUGGUUAAGGUAACUCUAAGAAGGGACAAAGGGAAUUGGCAAAUUUGCAGCGCUCUAUUGACUAAGAUGGAAAGGGACUGAAAUGGGGUUUUCUUCGGUUGUGCUAGUUAGGUUUUUUGGAUGCGUAAUGAUGCUGAUUGGAAGUGUGAAAAUAAAGGCCAUGGCACAAGCAAAGAGGAGCCCCCACCAUGGCAUCUGAACCUGAUCUUUCAUAAAAAUGCAGAGCACAAGAGAGACUGCAAGUGUCACCCCAAGCAAGAUAUAAAACCACCAAGAAGGUAUAUCCUUGUAUUUCCUCAUCAAUCUGGUAUGAAUAUCUUCCUUGCCUUUGUAAGAAGCACGAAAUCUCUCGUAGAUUUCUCUGUUUAAAUUUCAACAUAAUGUGAGUGCACUUUGGAAAGAAAUUUAAAGAAUGAAAGAAGUGGGGUUUUGAUGA
Malania oleifera is the source of this 1026-nucleotide long non-coding RNA. RefSeq lists it as uncharacterized. The transcript has 2 exons. Lineage: Eukaryota; Viridiplantae; Streptophyta; Magnoliopsida; Santalales; Ximeniaceae. The record is from RefSeq and is a predicted model, not a curated record.